RNAcentral lists this ribosomal RNA (200 nucleotides) under uncultured bacterium. Its description in RNAcentral is "partial 16S ribosomal RNA". It matches the Rfam family "Bacterial small subunit ribosomal RNA", at positions 8 to 206 of the family's 1533-position model. The record is from RNAcentral.
AGAGUUUGAUCCUGGCUCAGAGCGAACGUUAGCGGCAGGCCUAACACAUGCAAGUCGCACGAGAAUGGGGCUUCGGCCCUUAGUAAAGUGGCGGACGGGUGAGUAACACGUGGAUAAUCUGCCUUCGGCGGGGGACAACAGUCCGAAAGGAUUGCUAAUACCGCAUACGUCAGCGAGGUCUUCGGACCUUGUUGGGAAAG